Rattus rattus (black rat) is the source of this 691-nucleotide long non-coding RNA. RefSeq lists it as uncharacterized. The record is from RefSeq and is a predicted model, not a curated record. Lineage: Eukaryota; Metazoa; Chordata; Mammalia; Rodentia; Muridae. The transcript has 2 exons.
ACUGUGUAAAGAACCAUUGGAGAAUAUCCUCUGGCCUGAAAACAUGUACCAUUGACUUCUAGGUUGUUCUAGGAGCCUUUAUUAAAUUUAAUUUCAAUUAAAAUGUUUGGGGAGCCAGCUCCUGGGAAUACUAAUCAAUAUGUCCCUUUAGUUGAACAGUCCCAUGAUGGGUCUUACAUGCACCUUAUUGAUCUGGAAUGAAGGUAAUUCUCUUUUACCUGACAUCUUGGCUCCUGGCAAGCUCCCCAUUGGCCUCCGUGUGUUCAACCUCACCAGCAUUCUGAGGCUCGAAUCGGCAUGGGAGCAGAGAGUGGGUAACCCCUGUAAAAGGCUCAUUCAACCCUAAAAGGGUCUCCACCCACUACUUUAGAUGGGUCUGUCUCUUCAUACACAGAAACACCAUCUACAGUAGAGGAAAGCUUUGCACUGGAGCUUCCUGUGAACGUCGCGAUCUCACUGUCAGUAGCAAGCCUUCCCUGUGCAGCAGAAGGCUGAGAAGCACAGGCUUUGGGACCCAACAUGUCUCGGCUCAUGCUCCAGCUCUACCAUUUCUAAGUUGGGUAGCCUGGUAGGCUAAUUCAUUCACUGAAGUGCUGGUUGCUCAUCUAAAAGUUGGGGAUGACAACAACACUUACGUCCCAGGGGUUUCAUGAGGAUUAAAUAAAAUGAUGCAUGUGAUCUGGGCAAUGAC